GAUGAACGCUGGCGGCGUGCCUAAUACAUGCAAGUCGAGCGAACAGACGAGGAGCUUGCUCCUCUGACGUUAGCGGCGGACGUGUGAGUAACACGUGGAUCACCCACCUAUAAGACUGGGAUAACUUCGGGAAACCGGAGCUAAUACCGGAUAAUAUAUUGAACCGCAUGGUUCAAUAGUGAAAGACGGUUUUGCUGUCACUUAUAGAUGGAUCCGCGCCGCAUUAGCUAGUUGGUAAGGUCACGGCUUACCAAGGCAACGAUGCGUAGCCGACCUGAGAGGGUGAGCGGCCACACUGGAACUGAGACACGGUCCAGACUCCUACGGGAGGCAGCAGGAGGGAAGCGUCCGCAAAGGGCGAAAGCCUGACGGAGCAACGCCGCGUGAGUGAUGAAGGUCUUCGGAUCGUAAAACUGUGUUAUUAGGGAAGAACAAAUGUGUAAGUAACUAUGCACGUCUUGACGGUACCUAAUCAGAAAGCCACGGCUAACUACGUG
Molecule: ribosomal RNA, 497 nt
Filed under: uncultured bacterium
Lineage: Bacteria
Description: partial 16S ribosomal RNA
Rfam family: Bacterial small subunit ribosomal RNA
Source: RNAcentral